Molecule: ribosomal RNA, 497 nt
Filed under: uncultured bacterium
Lineage: Bacteria
Description: partial 16S ribosomal RNA
Rfam family: Bacterial small subunit ribosomal RNA
Source: RNAcentral
GAUGAACGCUGGCGGCGUGCCUAAUACAUGCAAGUCGAGCGAACAGAUAAGGAGCUUGCUCCUUUGACGUUAGCGGCGGACGGGUGAGUAACACGUGGGUAACCUACCUAUAAGACUGGGAUAACUUCGGGAAACCGGAGCUAAUACCGGAUAAUAUUUCGAACCGCAUGGUUCGAUAGUGGAACAUGGUUUUGCUAUCACUUAUAGAUGGACCCGCGCCGUAUUAGCUAGUUGGUAAGGUAACGGCUUACCAAGGCGACGAUACGUAGCCGACCUGAGAGGGUGAUCGGCCACACUGGAACUGAGACACGGUCCAGACUCCUACGGGAGGCAGCAGUAGGGAAUCUUCCGCAAUGGGCGAAAGCCUGACGGAGCAACGCCGCGUGAGUGAUGAAGGUCUUCGGAUCGUAAAACUCUGUUAUUAGGGAAGAACAUACGUGUAAGUAACUGUGCACGUCUUGACGGUACCUAAUCAGAAAGCCACGGCUAACUACGUG